RNAcentral lists this ribosomal RNA (254 nucleotides) under uncultured bacterium. RNAcentral describes it as "partial 16S ribosomal RNA". It matches the Rfam family "Bacterial small subunit ribosomal RNA", at positions 524 to 776 of the family's 1533-position model. The record is from RNAcentral.
UACGUAGGGACCAAGCGUUGUUCGGAUUUACUGGGCGUAAAGGGCGCGUAGGCGGCAAUUCAAGUCAUCUGUGAAAUCUCCGGGCUUAACUCGGAAUGGUCAGGUGAUACUGCUUUGCUAGAGUGCAGAAGGGGCAAUCGGAAUUCUUGGUGUAGCGGUGAAAUGCGUAGAUAUCAAAGAGGAACACCUGAGGUGAAGACGGGUUGCUGGGCUGACACUGACGUGAGGCGCGAAAGCUAGGGGGAGCAAACGGG